UACGUAGGGGGCAAGCGUUGUCCGGAAUCAUUGGGCGUAAAGAGCGUGUAGGCGGCCCGAUAAGUCCGCUGUGAAAGUCCAGGGCUCAACCCUGGGAUGCCGGUGGAUACUGUCGGGCUCGAGUCCGGAAGAGGCGAGUGGAAUUCCUGGUGUAGCGGUGAAAUGCGCAGUUAUCAGGAGGAACACCAAUGGCGAAGGCAGCUCGCUGGGACGUGACUGACGCUGAGACGCGAAAGCGUGGGGAGCAAACAGG
RNAcentral lists this ribosomal RNA (253 nucleotides) under uncultured bacterium. RNAcentral describes it as "partial 16S ribosomal RNA". It matches the Rfam family "Bacterial small subunit ribosomal RNA", at positions 524 to 776 of the family's 1533-position model. The record is from RNAcentral.